GGCCGGGUCCUGUGCAACGAGUGCCUGUGAACCGGGUCAGGGCCGGAAGGCAGCAGCUCUCAGCAGAUCCGCUCGGGUGCCGCAGACCGCCUGGCCGUC
Molecule: signal recognition particle RNA, 99 nt
Filed under: Acidimicrobiaceae bacterium
Lineage: Bacteria; Bacillati; Actinomycetota; Acidimicrobiia; Acidimicrobiales; Acidimicrobiaceae
Description: signal recognition particle sRNA small type
Rfam family: Bacterial small signal recognition particle RNA
About the family: The signal recognition particle (SRP) is a universally conserved ribonucleoprotein involved in the co-translational targeting of proteins to membranes. Archaeal SRP consists of a 7S RNA and homologues of the eukaryotic SRP19 and SRP54 proteins. In most bacteria, the SRP consists of a 4.5S RNA and the Ffh protein (a homologue of the eukaryotic SRP54 protein).
Source: RNAcentral